This 460-nucleotide ribosomal RNA is filed under the name uncultured bacterium. RNAcentral describes it as "partial 16S ribosomal RNA". It matches the Rfam family "Bacterial small subunit ribosomal RNA", at positions 338 to 795 of the family's 1533-position model. The record is from RNAcentral.
CCUACGGGAGGCAGCAGUGAGGAAUAUUGGUCAAUGGACGAGAGUCUGAACCAGCCAAGUAGCGUGAAGGAUGACUGCCCUAUGGGUUGUAAACUUCUUUUAUAUGGGAAUAAAAUGUUCCACGUGUGGGAUUUUGUAUGUACCAUAUGAAUAAGGAUCGGCUAACUCCGUGCCAGCCGCCGCGGUAAUACGGAAGAUCCGAGCGUUAUCCGGAUUUUUUGGGGUUAAAGGGAGCGUAGGGGGGUUGUUAAGUCAGGUGUGAAAGUUUGCGGCUCAACCGUAAAAUUGCAGUUGAAACUGGCAGUCUUGAGUACAGUAGAGGUGGGCGGAAUGCGUGGUGUAGCGGUGAAAUGCUUAGAUAUCACGCAGAACUCCGAUUGCGAAGGCAGUUCACUGGACUGCAACUGACACUGAGGCUCGAAAGUGUGGGUAUCAAACAGGAUUAGAUACCCGUGUAGUC